GAGAUAGAGGUUGCGUUUUUCAUCAGUAUGCUGUCGGAUGCGGCAGGCGCAGAGGAAGGCAGAUGAAAGGGGAAAACGCCGAAAGAACAGAUUUCCUGGCAGAUUUGUUCUUGGGCGCACAGUUAAGAACUGUGUGACUGUCAUCGUAAGAUGGUGCGCUAUCUA
Molecule: non-coding RNA, 165 nt
Filed under: uncultured Blautia sp.
Lineage: Bacteria; Bacillati; Bacillota; Clostridia; Lachnospirales; Lachnospiraceae
Description: Lysine riboswitch
Rfam family: Lysine riboswitch aptamer
About the family: Riboswitches are metabolite binding domains within certain messenger RNAs that serve as precision sensors for their corresponding targets. Allosteric rearrangement of mRNA structure is mediated by ligand binding, and this results in modulation of gene expression.
Source: RNAcentral